AGAGUUUGAUCCUGGCUCAGGAUGAACGCUGGCGGCGUGCCUAAUACAUGCAAGUCGAACGCGGGCACUUGUGCCCGAGUGGCGAACGGGUGAGUAAUACAUAAGUAACCUGGCCUUUACAGGGGGAUAACUGCUGGAAACGGCAGCUAAGACCGCAUAGGUAGGGACACUGCAUGGUGACCGUAUUAAAAGUGCUGCAAGGCACUGGUAGAGGAUGGACUUAUGGCGCAUUAGCUGGUUGGUGAGGUAACGGCUCACCAAGGCGACGAUGCGUAGCCGACCUGAGAGGGUGACCGGCCACACUGGGACUGAGACACGGCCCAGACUCCUACGGGAGGCAGCAGUAGGGAAUUUUCGGCAAUGGGGGGAACCCUGACCGAGCAACGCCGCGUGAAGGAAGAAGGAAUUCGUUCUGUAAACUUCUGUUAUAAAGGAAGAAAGACGGAUGGAGGAAAUGACAUCCGAGUGACGGUACUUUAUGAGAAAGCCACGGCUAACUACGUGCCAGCAGCCGCGGUAAUACGUAGGUGGCAAGCGUUAUCCGGAAUUAUUGGGCGUAAAGAGGGAGCAGGCGGCAGCAAAGGUCUGUGGUGAAAGACUGAAGCCUAACUUCAGUAAGCCAUAGAAACCGGGCAGCUAGAGUGCAGGAGAGGAUCGUGGAAUUCCAUGUGUAGCGGUGAAAUGCGUAGAUAUAUGGAGGAACACCAGUGGCGAAGGCGACGAUCUGGCCUGCAACUGACGCUCAGUCCCGAAAGCGUGGGGAGCAAAUAGGAUUAGAUACCCUAGUAGUCCACGCCGUAAACGAUGAGUAUUAAGUGUUGGAAGUCAAAUUUCAGUGCUGCAGUAAACGCAGUGAGUCCUCCGCCUGGGGAGUAUGCACGCAAGUGUGAAACUCAAAGGAAUUGACGGGGGCCCGCACAAGCGGUGGAGUAUGUGGUUUAAUUCGAAGCAACGCGAAGAACCUUACCAGGCCUUGACAUGGGAUGCGAAGAUGCAGAGAUGCAUCGGAGGUCAACAUCCACACAGGUGGUGCAUGGUUGUCGUCAGCUCGUGUCGUGAGAUGUUGGGUCAAGUCCCGCAACGAGCGCAACCCUUGUGGCAUGUUGCUAACAGGAAAAGCUGAGGACUCAUGCCAGACUGCCGGUGACAAACCGGAGGAAGGCGGGGAUGACGUCAAAUCAUCAUGCCCCUUAUGGCCUGGGCUACACACGUACUACAAUGGCGGCUACAAAGAGCAGCGAGACAGGGAUGUCGAGCGAAUCUCAUAAAAGCCGUCCCAGUUUGGAUUGGAGGCUGCAACCCGCCUCCAUGAAGUUGGAAUCGCUAGUAAUCGCGGAUCAGCAUGCCGUGGUGAAUACGUUACCGGGCCUUGCACACACCGCCCGUCA
This 1388-nucleotide ribosomal RNA is filed under the name uncultured bacterium. RNAcentral describes it as "16S ribosomal RNA". It matches the Rfam family "Bacterial small subunit ribosomal RNA". The record is from RNAcentral.